Molecule: long non-coding RNA, 3305 nt
Filed under: Sus scrofa (pig)
Lineage: Eukaryota; Metazoa; Chordata; Mammalia; Artiodactyla; Suidae
Description: lncRNA (ENSSSCG00005008498.1)
Source: RNAcentral
CCCACAGAACCUCCACCAACUGACAGUUUCUCUUCUUGACUUGCCACCCAUCGCUGGAUGUUGUCCACUUUAUCCACCAUAUAAAACAGUAAGCAGCUGCUAAAAACAAAAAAAAAAAAAACAAAAAAAAUACAAAAAGUAAUAACAUUAUAUGAACUGUGUUUCCUACUUGAUUAAAAAAUAUAAAGAACUGAGUGUUUAUUUCCCUAAUUAACCAAGAACUUUUGUACACGUUUAAGCUAUUAUUAUUAAAAGUGUUUGCAAAAUGGUCAAGAUUAUAAUAUUGCUGAAUUAUAUAAAAGUCCUUUUCAUGUUGAGCUAACAUUUGACUUUAGCACAAAAAAGAGAUAUUUUAGAACACGUAAAAUAAUAUUUUUAGUUUUUCUCAUUUUGUUACCAAAUUUCAAACCUUACAUGGAGGUUAUUAUAGUAUAUUUGACACCCUAUAUACCUGUGAUUAGAGAUGUGUAUAUAUAUGAGGGCUAGGCAUGCUGUGUGUCUGAGCUUUGUCUAAAUGUUAUGCAGAAGUUUGUAGAGUUAAAGGUACGUAGGUUUAAUUCAUGCAAGGUAAACAAUAAGUGCUCUCUUUUAUACAAUAUGCAUUGCAUCUGGACCUUAAACAUAAAAAAAUGGUCAGUGAAACUUCUGUGAACAUGAAGAAAUUAUUAAAAAAGGCAUUUAAAUGAAAUUUGCUAAGUUGUGAUUUUUAUGGUUGGAACCAAAGUUAUUCAAAUAGUGAAAGAAAAAAGAGAAAGAAAAGGAAAUCUCCCAUAAUAUUUUUCUGCAUCUGUUUGCUUUGACUGAGUAGGCGUUUUGUCAUUAUUGUGUAUAUGAGAUGUACUUGUAUUGUUCAUAAUAUAUUUUUUUUAUUAUGUGUAGAAAGAUUUUAAAAACUAACGUGCAGCAAUUUCCAGUGAACCUGUUCUUGGACAUCAGGUAGUGAGUCUAUUUGUGGUCACUAGCACUGUCUCCUAAACUUGUAAGAAGUCUGAAGCUACCCUUUGAUUUUUGCCAGUGCUAUUAACUUAUGUAGACCUGUUAAAAAGCAGAGCAACACAAUUAUAGUUAUCCUACUGAGCCAUGGAUUCUGAGCUUCAUUUUAAAAGUGAAAGCCAAGUUGGUGUAUGUAAAGGAUUUCCAUGUAGCUGUGGUGCUAGUUAUUACUGGCUACAUUAUAUGCUAAUGUAUUUGUGUUCCCCAAGUGUACAAGCCUUUUAUCAAAAGUAUGUUCUAUAACUCAUAUAUUCAAGGUGUAGGGUAUGAAAAUGCAAAGCUUAGGAGAGCACUUUACAAAGCUGGUGUCCUCCAAACUGAAAUUGUUUGUAACGAUAGUCUUUUACAGGUUUUCAUUUAAAGAUGUUCGUGUGCUUUUAAUUGACAACUAACUUCUUGCUGCUGUAUAGUAAAAUAUUAAUAUAUUUUUAUCAUUAAACUGCUGCAUGACUAUCAUCUUUGAGUGAAGAGAAAAUGUUAUAAAAAAAAGAUGCCUUAAACAGUACAUUUUGGUUUGGAAUUCUGUAGAAAGUAUUUUGGUUUAAAAAAAAAAAAAAGGAUCUUGUCUGACAUAGAGAGUUCUGGGGAUGGAAUUGUUUUCUUGGCAAAUCCAGCCGUGUAGAUCUAACUGCUGUAUGUAGAAGACACCACCUGUAGGAGCUGGAAGGGAUCAUGCUUCUCACAUUGUAAAGCAUUGGCCUAGGAAGGUGAAAAAGUUGUCUUUUUGAAGGAUUUUUUUUUUUUUUCUGCUGGUUCUUUGGGUUUUGAGUUGGUAUUUUUAAGCUCCCUGGUUGAGUGUGUUGUCUUUGUUUUUGAGAUCUACUGUAUGUGUUGAAUAACAAGCUAUUUCCAUUGUACUGUGCAUUUUCCCAUUAAAUUGUUUGCUUUUAAUAUUCAUACAAUGUUAAAUAUGAGGUGACCGUAAAAUAGUUAGGAGUUUCUUUACUUACAAAAAUCACUGGAAAUGAUUAAAUUGCUUUUCCCUUUCCCCCAAGGUGCAUUUUUCUUUCCAUAUAGUAAAGUUGAGCUUCUACAGUGCAUAAUGUGACAUUUGGAAUGCUUAUCAACUGCAUGUAAACAUUAAUAACCUGCACUUUUUUGUCUUAAGGUUUGUUGAGCUGUUUUGUUCACUGUACUUUAACUGUGAUAUGGAAAAGACUGCAUUCUCUGUGCUGUUACUAGUUAGGAAAGAGAAUUGCUUUGAUUUUGUCUCUUGUUUACUAUAGCUUCUUGAAGUUAAGCCUUGUACUACAGGUUGUUGGAGUACUCCUAGAUCAGUGUUUCAUGGUAGCCAGCAAUAAGUAGUGCAAGUCAACAAAAACACAGCAAACUUAGGCAAAGUGUCCUUUCUUUGAGAUGCGAGUUCUUUCAUGAGGUUUUCUUUAGGGUCCGAGUUACCUAAAGUGAAGCCUUUCUUACCUAUAGACUCCAGAUUCUGCUUGGAAUCCUACCGGAUCAAGAAGCACAUGCAUUGUGCAAUUGUCUUCACACUAUAUAACAGUUAAACACAAUCUUACUAAGAUUUUGAAACCAGUGUCUGAUUUAUGGUCAGUGGGUUUAAAAAGAAAUCCACAUGCAGAUCUUUUAAGACUUAAGACGUGAUCAUAGAAAAGACUAUUGACUGUAAAGAUGCUCUUUUUUUGCAUCUCACUUUACCUCCCCAAGUAUCCUCCCAGCCUUCCCUUCUCCCCUCUCCUGCUCCUUCCUUUUCUCACCCCCCACCCCAGGUGCUCAGUACUUUACCAUGGUUCUAUAUCUCAGUGGUGGGUGGGAUGGGGGGAGAUCUUUGAGUCAACAACUGACAGAAAUGUCUUCAAAUUUAAAAAUUGAGAAUCAGCACCUUAUUUAAGUCUAACUGUACACCAUUUUAGUGCAUGUUAUUAGUUUUAAUGAUUUUUUGGUGCAUGCCUUUGGGCUUAUUCAAAAGUGUACAAUAGGAAAGUAUAUGUAUUUCCUUUCUUAGAAAGGAGAUGUUUUUCUACUUUGCAACAUGUGAUUACAAAAUCUUCCUCUGUGGGAAGAUUAACCAUGUAUUGAACUACUGAAAAGUAUAUAUUUUUAGAUAUACAGAAGGAAUCUACAUGGAGCAGCAUUCAGACCUAUAUAGAAGUCAUAGCAUUCUGUAUAGGACCAAAAAGGAAAUAACAUUAAACACUUAAACAGACUUUGUUGGGUAGAAAUACCUUUAGAUCUUGCAUUGACUUCCACAAAGAAAAUGCCGCAGAAGUUUGCUGAAAACUUUUGUCGUUUGAAUUUUCUCUGUCAGUGUAUUUAGCCCAAACAGAACAGCUUUGGGUUAACACAUACAUAAG